RNAcentral lists this long non-coding RNA (2250 nucleotides) under Equus asinus (donkey). Its description in RNAcentral is "lncRNA (ENSEASG00005035954.1)". The record is from RNAcentral. Lineage: Eukaryota; Metazoa; Chordata; Mammalia; Perissodactyla; Equidae.
GGAACAGCCAAAAGCUACAAUCAGUAGUUGACAAAAGGAAAAAAACUUUAGUACCUAGAUACUUAAUCAUCAAUGGCUAACUCUCUGCUGGUUUUACUAGUCACUGUUUAAACUUUAUUUUUAACUAAUUAAGUUAAAAAGUUACUUCCUCUAUUGCACUUGGCAAAUCUCAAGUGCUCAGUAGCCACAGGUGGCUGAUGCUAUGACAAUGGACUGCAUAAAUACAGAAUUUCCAGCAUCACAGAACAUUCCAUUGGACGGUACUGAUCCAGAUCCCUUAUCCCAGAGAAUGGGGUCUUCCCCAUGGCUGAUCUGGGCAUAGGUCACCCAGAGACCGUCUUACAGCUGGAAUCUGUGGGCUGCAUGUGCAGACAAGAAGGCUGCAGCAGCUCCAGAUUACAGUGGAAACGUGGAUGCUUCUCCCUGGCGGCUCCUGUCACGUUCCAGGUUCCGUGAUUCCUCUCAGAAAUAAAGAAGCGGUAUUUGAGGAGAGAUGGAGAAAUUCUGGGAACCCAAGCCCUCUUGGACGAAGCAGUAACCUCAGCUUCCGUGGUGCAUCUUUGCUUUCUGCCAUCCUUCCUUCCUUUGUUCCUUCCUCCUUCUCCUCCCUUCUUUGACUCCUUUCGUGUCCACUGAGGACCCAGCAUUUUGUCUGUACUAAGCCGGUGCUGUGAGAGUUAAAGAAACAGUAAGGUCUCCCUGUAAGACACCUGCCAUCUUAACUCCUUUGGGAACAGAGAGAGAGGUUGGAAGAAACAAAUGCAAACCAACUGAAAGGACAAGAACUACAUAUAGCUGAUUGUCCUUAUUGCAGUGAUUAUGUUUUACAGACCUGCCACAAACUAGUCAGUCGCGAACCAGUGCUCCCAGCAGAAUACAGUAGGGUCCUGAGAACCUCUGGUCACAAUACUUUCAGCAACCAAUCAAUACCUAACCUUGUUUUCUGUGUGUUUCUGUCUAAAGACGCCUUAUUUAAUACAUGGUUGAUUCAUUAACAUCGAACUCUCAGUCAACAGCCCUCUGACUGGUGCCUGAAUGACAUUUCUCUAACGCACGUGCAUUCCCCACGAGGCGCAUCACAGCCUUCUUGAGCUUGGGGACACCAGACAGCACUUCAGGAUUUUCUAGGAGGACAUUUUAAACAGAGAAAUCAUAAACUAAAAGCACAAAUAUGUGAAAAAUGCAACACGAAACAGACCGCAAACAGGGCACUUGUUACAGUUAAGGAGAAGAAACAAGAAGGUUGCCCAGGUGGCAACAGGAACCUUGAGCAACUCAAACUUUUCGCAGCUCUGCGCGUGUCCACAAAUGACCACGAAAGGACUGCGAGUGUUGAUUUUGGGGUAACAGAUAAAUUUUAGCAAGUAGACAAAUUCAUAAAUAUGAAAUCUGUGAAUAAUGAGGGUUGACCAUGGAUAUAUGUGAGUGUGCAUAAAGUUCCCAUUCAGAAAAAUUAAGGACCAAAAGAGAAAAGGAAAUACAUUGGGAAAAAUUUUAUGGAGAAUAGGGGCAAUGGACGGAGGUGAGAGACGUGGGGAGGGAGGGCCUUCCAGCCUCGUGCCCUGGAUGAGGAGAGGUGAGCACGGUGAGGUGUGUGUUUCUGUGAGAAAGGAGGUGGAGUCUAGCUGGAGAAGGGGCUACACGGGAGCCAAGCGGGAGCAGCUUGGAAGGGAGGUGGAAGCCAGGUGGAAGGUAGGCGGACGUGUGUGAUUCAUCUUGAGAAAUCCUGAGCCACAUCUGCGGGAGAAGGUGAAGAGUAAGUCAGCUGUGUGAGUCUGACCUCAGUAUGCUCAACUCCAAAUACUAGGUAAGAGAGGCCUUUUAGAAGAGAUGACAAAAUAGCAGUUAGUUCUUCAAACACCAAUUUGUAGAAGAGAAGAAUGUUUAGGAGGAAAGACUUUUAGGGUGGUCUUCACUGAAAACAUAUUUCACAAGCAAGUAGCAAUAACCUGUUCUGUUGGCAAAACAAGAGAAACUGGGCUCAAAGCCAGGAUGAGACAGAAAUGUUGCUUUUGAAGAUGAAACCCUGUAGACAUUUGUCAAAGCCCACUCAUGCUUCAGACCAUCAGAACAAAAGGUAUAAGUACCUGUUUUGAUGAAAUAUCACUGGCUACUUCGUAGGAAAAAUAUAAGUAGAGCUGGAAUCUCUGAGUCAGAAAAAAACCCAGUACAGCUGAGUCUUGCAAGCAAGCACACUCACAAAAGGAGCAGAAGUGACUGUGGGGAAAAUAAAGCAUGGUCUAGACCAGC